GUGAAUCAUCGAAUUUUUGAACGCAAAUUGCACUCCCCUCGGAGAGUAUGCCUGUUUGAGGGUCAGCCUAAAAAAAAUCGACAUCGUUGCUGUUUCGCGGUGACGUUCGUCGGACACUGGGUUAUCUUAAACCUUUUGUCUUAUGCGACUUAUAAUUUUCUUUUUGAUUCCAUGCACGCUUCUAAGAUUGAUUUCUUUACACGUUUAAGGUUUC
RNAcentral lists this unclassified non-coding RNA (214 nucleotides) under Glomus sp. RNAcentral describes it as "partial contains 5.8S ribosomal RNA and internal transcribed spacer 2". The stretch from base 1 to 65 matches the Rfam family "5.8S ribosomal RNA", at positions 84 to 154 of the family's 154-position model. The record is from RNAcentral. Lineage: Eukaryota; Fungi; Glomeromycota; Glomeromycetes; Glomerales; Glomeraceae.